Oncorhynchus keta (chum salmon) is the source of this 458-nucleotide long non-coding RNA. RefSeq lists it as uncharacterized. The record is from RefSeq and is a predicted model, not a curated record. The transcript has 3 exons. Lineage: Eukaryota; Metazoa; Chordata; Actinopteri; Salmoniformes; Salmonidae.
UUCAAAACAACAAUACAUUGGUACAGUAAAAGUGCUAUUCAGACCUGACUGGUCGAGGACGACGAUCUGGUCUGAUCCAGACCUAACUGGUCUAGGAGGUCCAUCUAUCUGGUCUGAUCCAGACCUAACUGGUCUAGGAGGUCCAUCUAUCUGGUCUGAUCCAGACCUAACUGGUCUAGGAGGUCCAUCUAUCUGGUCUGAUCCAGACCUAACUGGUCUAGGAGGUCCAUCUAUCUGGUCUGAUCCAGACCUAACUGGUCUAGGAGGUCCAUCUAUCUGGUCUGAUCCAGACCUGACUGGUCUAGGAGGUCCAUCUAUCUGGUCUGAUCCAGACCUAACUGGUCUAGGAGGUCCAUCUAUCUGGUCUGAUCCAGACCUAACUGGUCUAGGAGGUCCAUCUAUCUGGUCUGAUCCAGACCUAACUGGUCUAGGAGGUCCAUCUAUCUGGUCUGAUCCAG